Molecule: ribosomal RNA, 342 nt
Filed under: Triticum aestivum (bread wheat)
Lineage: Eukaryota; Viridiplantae; Streptophyta; Magnoliopsida; Poales; Poaceae
Description: partial small subunit ribosomal RNA
Source: RNAcentral
AUGCCUCAACUUGAUAAAUUAACUUAUUUCUCACAAUUCUUCUGGUUAUGUCUUCUCCUCUUUACUUUUUAUAUUCUCUUAUUUAAUAAUAAUAAUGGAAUACUUGGAAUUAGUAGAAUUCUCAAACUAUGGAACCAACUGCUUUCGCACCGGGGGGGCGAGAUCCGGAGCAAGGACCCUAAGAAUCUGGAAGAUAUCUCGAGAAAAGGUUUUAGCACCGGUCUCUCAUAUAUGUACUCCAGUUUAUCCGAAGUAUCCCAAUGGUGUAAGACCGUCGACUAUUUGGGAAAAAGGAGGAAAAUCACUCUGAUCUCUGAUUUCGGAGAAAUAAGUGGCUCAUGA